UACGAAGGGGGCUAGCGUUGCUCGGAAUCACUGGGCGUAAAGGGUGCGUAGGCGGGUCUUUAAGUCAGAGGUGAAAUCCUGGAGCCCAACUCCAGAACUGCCUUUGAUACUGAAGAUCUUGAGUUCGGGAGAGGUGAGUGGAACUGCGAGUGUAGAGGUGAAAUUCGUAGAUAUUCGCAAGAACACCAGUGGCGAAGGCGGCUCACUGGCCCGAUACUGACGCUGAGGCACGAAAGCGUGGGGAGCAAACAGG
RNAcentral lists this ribosomal RNA (253 nucleotides) under uncultured bacterium. RNAcentral's name for it is "partial 16S ribosomal RNA". It matches the Rfam family "Bacterial small subunit ribosomal RNA", at positions 524 to 776 of the family's 1533-position model. The record is from RNAcentral.